GAACGCUAGCGGCAGGCCUAACACAUGCAAGUCGCGGGGCAGCACGGGUAGCAAUACCUGGUGGCGACCGGCGCACGGGUGCGUAACGCGUAUGCAACCUGCCCCCAUCAGGGGAAUAGCCCGCCGAAAGGCGGAUUAAUGCCCCAUAGGCCCAGGGCGCCGCAUGGCGCUAUGGGUAAAGCUCCGGCGGAUGGGGAUGGGCAUGCGUGCCAUUAGCUAGUUGGGGCGGUAACGGCGCACCAAGGCGACGAUGGCUAGGGGGUCUGAGAGGAUGGUCCCCCACACUGGUACUGAGACACGGACCAGACUCCUACGGGAGGCAGCAGUGAGGAAUAUUGGUCAAUGGGCGGAAGCCUGAACCAGCCCAUGCCGCGUGCAGGAUGACGGCCCUACGGGUUGUAAACUGCUUUUCCCCGGGAAGAAUAAGCCCCUCGUGAGGGGUGGUGCCGGUACCGGGGAAUAAGGAUCGGCUAACUCCGUGCCAGCCGCCGC
RNAcentral lists this ribosomal RNA (492 nucleotides) under uncultured bacterium. RNAcentral's name for it is "bacterial SSU rRNA". It matches the Rfam family "Bacterial small subunit ribosomal RNA", at positions 31 to 518 of the family's 1533-position model. The record is from RNAcentral.